RNAcentral lists this ribosomal RNA (497 nucleotides) under uncultured bacterium. Its description in RNAcentral is "partial 16S ribosomal RNA". It matches the Rfam family "Bacterial small subunit ribosomal RNA", at positions 28 to 507 of the family's 1533-position model. The record is from RNAcentral.
GAUGAACGCUGGCGGCGUGCCUAAUACAUGCAAGUCGAGCGAACAGAUGAGGAGCUUGCUCCUCUGACGUUAGCGGCGGACGGGUGAGUAACACGUGGAUAACCCACCUAUAAGACUGGGAUAACUUCGGGAAACCGGAGCUAAUACCGGAUAAUAUAUUGAACCGCAUGGUUCAAUAGUGAAAGACGGUUUUGCUGUCACUUAUAGAUGGAUCCGCGCCGCAUUAGCUAGUUGGUAAGGUAACGGCUUACCAAAGCAACGAUGCGUAGCCGACCUGAGAGGGUGAUCGUCCACACGGGAACUGGAACGCGGUCCAGGCUCCUGCGGGAGGCAGCAGAAGGGAAUCUUCCGCAAUGGGCGAGAACCUGACGGAGCAGCGCCACGUGAGUGAUGAAGAUCUUCGGAUCGUAAAACUCUGUUAUUAGGGAAGAACAAAUUUGUAAGUAACUAUGUACGUCUUGACGGUACCUGAUCAGAAAGCCACGGCUAACUACGUG